RNAcentral lists this unclassified non-coding RNA (367 nucleotides) under fungal sp. RNAcentral's name for it is "partial internal transcribed spacer region". The stretch from base 1 to 46 matches the Rfam family "Eukaryotic small subunit ribosomal RNA", at positions 1786 to 1831 of the family's 1831-position model. The record is from RNAcentral. Lineage: Eukaryota; Fungi.
AAGUCGUAACAAGGUUUCCGUAGGUGAACCUGCGGAAGGAUCAUUAACACGUAUCCAACGUUAGAACUUUAAGCCUACUCUUGCAGCCCAUGAGGAACAGCAAUCCCGGUAAAUCAUUGCCAAACAGUUUUGAUUCGGGACCUCUGUCCAAAAGGAGUUGCAAUUGAGUGGUAUGCAGUGGCAUGGCUUGUGUCACUGACUGUGUAAGGAUAACGCCUCACGGUUGCCAGAGGUCGAUCACCGACCGGCAGACAUGUCACAGGGCCACCGCGCCCCUUAAUCACUCCACUAGAAAAUGCCCCGCCUAGUGGUAACGCGCUAGGGAAAAAAAACCGAACAACUGUUAACAAUGGAUAUCUUGGUUCUC